UCCUGCCCGGUGACCCUCAACGGCCGCAGUACCCUGACUGUGCAAAGGUAGCAUAAUCACUUGCCUUUUAAUUGAAGGCUGGAAUGAAUGGACUCACGAAAAUAACCCUGUCUCUAAACUAAAAAUAAAAACUAGACUUCAAGUGAAAAUACUUGAAUAAAAAUAAAGGACAAAAAGACCCUAUAGAGCUGCAUUUACCGAAACCUAUAAUGAACUAAACACUACAUUUAUUUUUAAGUAAAUUUUGUUGGGGCGACAAAGGAACAUAAAAAUCUUCCUUAGCUACAAAGAAAACAAUUCUCACAAUAGAUCCACUAAUGAUCAAAGGAAAAAGCUACCUUAGGGAUAACAGGCUAAUCUCUCUAGAGAGUUCAAAUUGACAGAGAGGAUUGGCACCUCGAUGUUGGCUUAAGAUAUCCCCUAGGUGCAGAAGCCUAGAAAGGUUGGUUUGUUCAACCAUUAAAAUCUUACGUGAUCUGAGUCAGACCGGA
RNAcentral lists this ribosomal RNA (491 nucleotides) under Glycera sp. A ZW-2021. RNAcentral's name for it is "partial large subunit ribosomal RNA". It matches the Rfam family "Bacterial large subunit ribosomal RNA", at positions 1857 to 2620 of the family's 2925-position model. Lineage: Eukaryota; Metazoa; Annelida; Polychaeta; Phyllodocida; Glyceridae. The record is from RNAcentral.